RNAcentral lists this ribosomal RNA (465 nucleotides) under uncultured bacterium. Its description in RNAcentral is "partial 16S ribosomal RNA". It matches the Rfam family "Bacterial small subunit ribosomal RNA", at positions 338 to 795 of the family's 1533-position model. The record is from RNAcentral.
CCUACGGGUGGCUGCAGUGGGGAAUUUUGGACACUGGGCGCAAGCCUGAUCCAGCUAUUCCGCGUGUGGGAAGACGGCCUUCGGGUUGUAAACCACUUUUGUAGAGAACGAAAAGUAUAUUGAUAAUACCGAUAGACGAUGACGGUACUCUAAGAAUAAGCACCGGCUAACUACGUGCCAGCAGCCGCGGUAAUACGUAGGGUGCGAGCGUUAAUCGGAAUUACUGGGCGCAAAGGGUGUGCAGGUGGUUUUGCAAGAUGGAUGUGAAAGCCCCGGGCUUAACCUGGGAAAGCCAUACAUGACUGCAAGACUAGAGUGCGUCAGAGGGGGGUGGAAGUCCAAGUGUAGCAGUGAAAUGCGUAGAUAUCACGCAGAACCCCGAUUGCGAAGGCAGCAUGCCGGCUUCCGACUGACGCUGAAGCACGAAAGCGUGGGGAUCGAACAGGAUUAGAUACCCGAGUAGUC